This 557-nucleotide long non-coding RNA is filed under the name Elaeis guineensis (African oil palm). Its description in RNAcentral is "long non-coding RNA (EGUI_LNC012224)". Lineage: Eukaryota; Viridiplantae; Streptophyta; Magnoliopsida; Arecales; Arecaceae. The record is from RNAcentral.
CUCUCAGUAUCUUCAGGGGUGCUAAAGGACUCAUUCAACAAUUGAAUCAUCUCCUCGGAUUACGCAUCUUCGAACUUAUGGUUAAGUUCAUCAUUCAUGGCUGCUCUCAUAACGCACUGUAGUGCGAUCAUUGAACUACUUCAUAUAAGUAUCUCUCAUAGCACAGGGUGCAUUGGCAGCAGGUUCUUUGGGUGCGAGAUCCAUAAGCACGCACAUGAUCUUUUCGUACUCUAGGAUGAUCUUAAGUUUUCAAUACCAGCUAUUGAAAUUUGAUUCGAUAAGCUUGUCACUGUCCAAUAGCGAUCAGAGCGAUAAUGUGUUGGCCAUAGUUGGAAAAAAAAUCAAAAGUCUAUUAGUAUAUGAAUUAUUUUAAUCCUAAAGAUAUAAUCUUUAGUCUAAAGAUCCUUCCAUUAUUUUAUAUAAAUUGGUAGCCUCUACUUUCAAUUCAAAGAAUUAUAUUAAUCUCUUAGCGGGUACUAGAAUCUACACAGACUGCAUUCGGAUUCGAGUGUGGCUUGACCAACCUUAGUGCAUCCAUGGGUAGGUUCUUAAUCAAU